This 2930-nucleotide ribosomal RNA is filed under the name Escherichia coli. Its description in RNAcentral is "bacterial LSU rRNA". It matches the Rfam family "Bacterial large subunit ribosomal RNA". Lineage: Bacteria; Pseudomonadati; Pseudomonadota; Gammaproteobacteria; Enterobacterales; Enterobacteriaceae. The record is from RNAcentral.
GGGUUGUGAGGUUAAGCGACUAAGCGUACACGGUGGAUGCCCUGGCAGUCAGAGGCGAUGAAGGACGUGCUAAUCUGCGAUAAGCGUCGGUAAGGUGAUAUGAACCGUUAUAACCGGCGAUUUCCGAAUGGGGAAACCCAGUGUGUUUCGACACACUAUCAUUAACUGAAUCCAUAGGUUAAUGAGGCGAACCGGGGGAACUGAAACAUCUAAGUACCCCGAGGAAAAGAAAUCAACCGAGAUUCCCCCAGUAGCGGCGAGCGAACGGGGAGGAGCCCAGAGCCUGAAUCAGUGUGUGUGUUAGUGGAAGCGUCUGGAAAGGCGCGCGAUACAGGGUGACAGCCCCGUACACAAAAAUGCACAUGCUGUGAGCUCGAUGAGUAGGGCGGGACACGUGGUAUCCUGUCUGAAUAUGGGGGGACCAUCCUCCAAGGCUAAAUACUCCUGACUGACCGAUAGUGAACCAGUACCGUGAGGGAAAGGCGAAAAGAACCCCGGCGAGGGGAGUGAAAAAGAACCUGAAACCGUGUACGUACAAGCAGUGGGAGCACGCUUAGGCGUGUGACUGCGUACCUUUUGUAUAAUGGGUCAGCGACUUAUAUUCUGUAGCAAGGUUAACCGAAUAGGGGAGCCGAAGGGAAACCGAGUCUUAACUGGGCGUUAAGUUGCAGGGUAUAGACCCGAAACCCGGUGAUCUAGCCAUGGGCAGGUUGAAGGUUGGGUAACACUAACUGGAGGACCGAACCGACUAAUGUUGAAAAAUUAGCGGAUGACUUGUGGCUGGGGGUGAAAGGCCAAUCAAACCGGGAGAUAGCUGGUUCUCCCCGAAAGCUAUUUAGGUAGCGCCUCGUGAAUUCAUCUCCGGGGGUAGAGCACUGUUUCGGCAAGGGGGUCAUCCCGACUUACCAACCCGAUGCAAACUGCGAAUACCGGAGAAUGUUAUCACGGGAGACACACGGCGGGUGCUAACGUCCGUCGUGAAGAGGGAAACAACCCAGACCGCCAGCUAAGGUCCCAAAGUCAUGGUUAAGUGGGAAACGAUGUGGGAAGGCCCAGACAGCCAGGAUGUUGGCUUAGAAGCAGCCAUCAUUUAAAGAAAGCGUAAUAGCUCACUGGUCGAGUCGGCCUGCGCGGAAGAUGUAACGGGGCUAAACCAUGCACCGAAGCUGCGGCAGCGACGCUGAUGCGUUGUUGGGUAGGGGAGCGUUCUGUAAGCCUGCGAAGGUGUGCUGUGAGGCAUGCUGGAGGUAUCAGAAGUGCGAAUGCUGACAUAAGUAACGAUAAAGCGGGUGAAAAGCCCGCUCGCCGGAAGACCAAGGGUUCCUGUCCAACGUUAAUCGGGGCAGGGUGAGUCGACCCCUAAGGCGAGGCCGAAAGGCGUAGUCGAUGGGAAACAGGUUAAUAUUCCUGUACUUGGUGUUACUGCGAAGGGGGGACGGAGAAGGCUAUGUUGGCCGGGCGACGGUUGUCCCGGUUUAAGCGUGUAGGCUGGUUUUCCAGGCAAAUCCGGAAAAUCAAGGCUGAGGCGUGAUGACGAGGCACUACGGUGCUGAAGCAACAAAUGCCCUGCUUCCAGGAAAAGCCUCUAAGCAUCAGGUAACAUCAAAUCGUACCCCAAACCGACACAGGUGGUCAGGUAGAGAAUACCAAGGCGCUUGAGAGAACUCGGGUGAAGGAACUAGGCAAAAUGGUGCCGUAACUUCGGGAGAAGGCACGCUGAUAUGUAGGUGAAGCGACUUGCUCGUGGAGCUGAAAUCAGUCGAAGAUACCAGCUGGCUGCAACUGUUUAUUAAAAACACAGCACUGUGCAAACACGAAAGUGGACGUAUACGGUGUGACGCCUGCCCGGUGCCGGAAGGUUAAUUGAUGGGGUUAGCGCAAGCGAAGCUCUUGAUCGAAGCCCCGGUAAACGGCGGCCGUAACUAUAACGGUCCUAAGGUAGCGAAAUUCCUUGUCGGGUAAGUUCCGACCUGCACGAAUGGCGUAAUGAUGGCCAGGCUGUCUCCACCCGAGACUCAGUGAAAUUGAACUCGCUGUGAAGAUGCAGUGUACCCGCGGCAAGACGGAAAGACCCCGUGAACCUUUACUAUAGCUUGACACUGAACAUUGAGCCUUGAUGUGUAGGAUAGGUGGGAGGCUUUGAAGUGUGGACGCCAGUCUGCAUGGAGCCGACCUUGAAAUACCACCCUUUAAUGUUUGAUGUUCUAACGUGGACCCGUAAUCCGGGUUGCGGACAGUGUCUGGUGGGUAGUUUGACUGGGGCGGUCUCCUCCUAAAGAGUAACGGAGGAGCACGAAGGUUGGCUAAUCCUGGUCGGACAUCAGGAGGUUAGUGCAAUGGCAUAAGCCAGCUUGACUGCGAGCGUGACGGCGCGAGCAGGUGCGAAAGCAGGUCAUAGUGAUCCGGUGGUUCUGAAUGGAAGGGCCAUCGCUCAACGGAUAAAAGGUACUCCGGGGAUAACAGGCUGAUACCGCCCAAGAGUUCAUAUCGACGGCGGUGUUUGGCACCUCGAUGUCGGCUCAUCACAUCCUGGGGCUGAAGUAGGUCCCAAGGGUAUGGCUGUUCGCCAUUUAAAGUGGUACGCGAGCUGGGUUUAGAACGUCGUGAGACAGUUCGGUCCCUAUCUGCCGUGGGCGCUGGAGAACUGAGGGGGGCUGCUCCUAGUACGAGAGGACCGGAGUGGACGCAUCACUGGUGUUCGGGUUGUCAUGCCAAUGGCACUGCCCGGUAGCUAAAUGCGGAAGAGAUAAGUGCUGAAAGCAUCUAAGCACGAAACUUGCCCCGAGAUGAGUUCUCCCUGACUCCUUGAGAGUCCUGAAGGAACGUUGAAGACGACGACGUUGAUAGGCCGGGUGUGUAAGCGCAGCGAUGCGUUGAGCUAACCGGUACUAAUGAACCGUGAGGCUUAACCUUACAACGCCGAAGCUGUU